RNAcentral lists this ribosomal RNA (501 nucleotides) under uncultured bacterium. RNAcentral's name for it is "partial 16S ribosomal RNA". It matches the Rfam family "Bacterial small subunit ribosomal RNA", at positions 29 to 523 of the family's 1533-position model. The record is from RNAcentral.
AUUGAACGCUGGCGGCAUGCCUUACACAUGCAAGUCGAACGGCAGCACGGGUGCUUGCACCUGGUGGCGAGUGGCGAACGGGUGAGUAAUACAUCGGAACGUACCUUAUCGUGGGGGAUAACGCAGCGAAAGCUGUGCUAAUACCGCAUACGCCCUGAGGGGGAAAGCGGGGGAUCGCAAGACCUCGCGCGAUUAGAGCGGCCGAUGCCUGAUUAGCUUGUUGGUGGGGUAAAAGCCCACCAAGGCGACGAUCAGUAGCUGGUCUGAGAGGACGAGCAGCCACACUGGGACUGAGACACGGCCCAGACUCCUGCGGGAGGCAGUAGUGGGGAAUUGUGGACAAUGGGGGCAACCCUGAUCCAGCAAUGCCGCGUGAGUGAAGAAGGCCUUCGGGUUGUAAAGCUCUUUUGUCAGGGAAGAAACACCGGCUCUAACACAGUGCGGGAAUGACGGUACCUGAAGAAUAAGCACCGGCUAACUACGUGCCAGCCGCCGCAGUAA